AACCUUAUCCACCAUUAAUUUAUCUAACCCCCUUUUAAAGCCAUCUAGCUGGCGGUCUUCCAGUAAUGAAUCAUUAUAUAAAACUUAUGUAAAAGAUGGGGGACUGAAUGUUGCAAAUAGUUAAGCCAGACAUUGAUUUAAUAUGAUAACCAAAACAAUCCCAUGAAUCAACUUAAAAUGUAGUGACAUAAAUAGUGACUUAUGCUAACUUGACUAAAACCUGACCUCAGUCCUUGGGGCGAGGCAUACUUGCUGGUCCUAGAUCUCUAACCAAGAAAUCCUUAUUUCGCCCCUUAGAUGUGCUCCUUCAGCAUAUUAUUCUCUUUUUUACCGUAAGCAUCAUCUUCCUUCCUUUCCUCUAUAGCUGACUUUGUGUGGAAUUUUAGACUGUUAACUCCUUGUGUUUGCCUAACACCAUGUUGCUACUCUGUAAAAUGCUGCAUAUAUUGAUGGUGGUACAUUUAAUCAUCAUCAUUAUAUCAGUGUUCCCUUUGUAACAUGAGCAUUUAAUUUCUAGAAAAAGUCACGUUGGGUCUCAAGUCUACAUUGACCUAUGAUUUGGACAUUCUUACCUAUUAGUUCUGAUAUGUGCAGACUCCUUGUCAUUAAUUCAGUGAUGAAGGAAAUGCACUCUGCGCCUGCUCAGGAUAUUUCUAUUUAUUCCUACAUCGUGCACUUCCCCCUUCUUUAAGCUCUAACACUGAGCCAUUGCACAAAUUAUUAAGCCCUGCUUUGCAGCUGUCGUUGCCUAUAAAGACUCAUUGGUGCCCCCUUCCUUUCUCAAACAGGUUCUACUCUGCACAGUGAUAGAACUGCUAAAGAACUGUUUAAGUUUUAAUUCUAUGGAGAUGGAGCACUGGACAGUAACUUUGGGCUACUUUAUAAGUAUCCCUUAUCCAAGGUCGUUUCAUCCAACCAUUGCAAUAUACUGCAAAAAGAAAGAAAGACCAGUAUUUAUUAAAUGAGUCAUCACAGAAUGUCUUUCAAGUCUAACCCUCUAGCACAGGAGUAGACAACCCAUUGCCCUCCAGACGUUGCUUUGCUACAGCUCCCAUCAUCCUUGGUCCCGGUAGCUGGGACUGAUGGGAGUUGAGUCCAGCAGCAGCUGUUCCUCUUCUAGCCUCUCCUCUCCUCUGGCUCUCUUAUGCAAAAUUAAGUACUCUUUUGUAAAAUCUAUGCAUCUUAUUUCCAAAUAUAUAAUGUAGGUGUCAGUUAAGUAGCAAGUUUCCUUCUUAGUUUUAAACAGAACAAUUUAAUUCUCCAUAACUUAAAUUUAUAAUGCUCACAUCUACCAUGUGUGCUCAAAUGUUAGCAUCAGAUCCUGAAAAUAUAAAACUAUUUUAAGAGCAGGAUUGAAUUUUGUAUAGGUGCACUUACAAUUCUUUUCAAAGUAAUGGAAGUUUACCCACUGAAAAGCACAGGGCAGACUCUUCACAUGUACGCUGAUAACAGGACAGGCGGGGAGAAGAAAUUUAGCACACGUUCCUCCUGCUUGGUCUGUGAUUUUGCUCAUUCAUUUUGCAUUCUUUCUUACAGAGAAUGAAUUUUUGGAUUAUCUGUUAAGUCAAACAAGACAUUUUGGUCCGAGAGACGGAUUUGGUCAUUUGGAAUUUGCACAUAAUUUUGCUCCGAAGCAAGCAAAGGUGGGAGAAUGCAUUUAGUGUUUAGUUUUGAGUGGAAAGUAUGUGAUUUCAUUUACUGAGCUGCUGUUCCAUUUGGAAAUCUCAUUAUGACUUCCAAACUUUGGCUUCAUUUAAACUCUUAACAAAAUUUGAUAGGUCCAUGUAGCAUCUUCUCAAUACAACAGGCCGACGCUUCUGAUGCUGUCUCAUUCUCAAAUGAUCAAGCAGCAACAAUAUUUUCAGAGCCGCAUGUACUCAUCAGAAUUGAAAAUAUAUUUUAAUAUGUACCAUUUUCAUUAUAAGAAUUUAAAAAUAAUAAUACAGCACAAAACAUGCACCAAAUGUUGCAUGUUUGCAAUGUCACACAUGUUUUGCAUGUGUUUAACAUGUUUAAUGUUUGCAGUGCACAUCAUGUGCUUGACUGCACAUAAACAUAGUUUGCUAUUUAUAUUUUAAAUGGUUUUCUGUCAUAGGCUAUUCAAAAAACACAUUUCAUUGUAAAAGGAAUCCUACAGAUAUUUAUUUAUUUUUUAAAAAAUUAAGAUUCUGUUUCGGCUUGUGCUGUCCAAUCUUUUAUGUGGUAUAAUUUUUUUUUACAUAUUUGUUCUGAAAAUAUAAAGCUGGCACCUGCCCCCUCAUUUCAUAAAGCUGCGACUUUACCCUCUGAUGCCUUGGUAAAGCAGACUAAUAGAAAUCCUUGGCACACAUUAGUUACCUAAGGGAAUAAUAGAACUAUUUGCUGUAAUCGUUUGGCAAAAGGACAUAAACAUAUGGCUUUGGUUUAUAUUCAGCACUGCCAGUUGUGCAAAGUUGCAUGGAUGAGGAACACAACAGCAGUGACAACUCUGAAAUCAGAAGUGAGAAUCAAAAUAAAUCAUCCUCAUUACAGAACCAUCCAAGCUUGUCUCUGGUCUAACAUUUAUUCCGCCGUUAUGCAUUUUCAAAUAUUAGACCCCCUUUGAAAAAUACUCCUUCAAAAAUAUACAUAGCAUUUGGCCAUCAGUAAUCAUGGUGUCCUAGAAUGGAUUACACGGUAUGUAGUCUCAAAUUGAAUCUGUUUUCAGAUUUAGAUUUAGUGUUUGGACUUAUUUAUUUUAGUUUGGGAGGAUAGUAACACAGCUGAAGCAGUCAAAUUUGCACCAUUUGUUUUUCGUUUUGGGGAAGCACUAGCAAUAAUGUUGAAAUGGAAAACACUGUGUUUGAAAAAGAAGUUAUCAAAAUCCAAAAAGCUACACAUCACUGAAAAGAUCCUUCAAUCCAAUUUUUACAUUUUAUACCUGCUGAAGGGGGGGUGAUACAUGACUAAAGAAUUCAUGACGGAGGGGCGGGGAGAGAAGAAUACUUAAGAUUGUUUCUUGGCAAAUGCUAAAAAAUAUGUCAUGGACCUUUUUUGAAGCAAUAGUCUGCAUUGUUCAACAACUUCCUUUGCAUUGUAGAUAACAAUGUAUGAUUUCUACUAAGAGAGUGGGGGGGUGUUUGAAGUAUAAUAUUUCUCCUACUUUAAAUGGAUUAAAAGCAUUCAUAUACACUUUUGUUGAUUUGGCUUUAGUCUCCUAUCCAAACAGUAAUAUUCAUCCUAUUUUAAAUAGAUUUAAAGAUUCCAUAUGCAAUUUUGUUGAUUUGGCUUCAGUCUUCCCUCUAGGCAACAAUUUCCUUUUGAUCUACAUUGUAUAAAUUGCAAGUGAAUUGACAUCUUGUUUGUAACCAAGACAUACAUAUACAAGUGACCAUUGUUAUUCAUAAUAACCCAGUAAAUUUUAUGCCGAUUUACAACCUGAUCCCUGGCAGCAGAACUUUUCUCCAUUUCCAGCACCACAUGAUCUUGCCCUGGACACAUAAUAAACAUUUAAGACUUAGCUUUUGGACUACCCUCUUUUCAAUCUAACGAGUUGUGCUUGGUAGCUACUACCCAGCUCUACGACUUUCUUUCAAAGUCCAAAAAGGUAUUGAUCACUCACAGGCUGUAGUAUCAAGUGGCGACUUGCAAGCAUGGGGUCAUUUAUUGAUUUGCUUCAGCAUUUUGAAUUCAUUGUAAUGUUUAUAUUUCACAUAUUAGUGAUUUGCAGUGCUCUUGAACAGUUUUUAUCUGAAUGCCCCAAUCAUUUUACAAAUACUAAUAAAUUAUCCUUUCAGCGGUACCAGUUUGAGACUUAGUCUCUUCUUUUUAAUUUUUUCUCCUCAUCUCUUUUUUGCUGAGGUGAAUGAGCCAUCACACUAACCACCACAGAUAAAAUGUUUGUGUCACCAUAUGUUAGCUCAAACCCAAACCUUUUCAGUGGGGGCAUUGGACUGAUGGCCAAACUAGAUGACACACUAAAUAUGUAAUCAUACUUGAAUAUCAUUUUCAAUAUCUAUAAAAAGUGAUGGCUCCAGUCCAGAUCAUGGUCAUGGUACAACAUAAGAACCAACUUUUUCUCCCAUGGCAUUUCUCCCUUCAGCUGCUAUUUGCCAAGGAAGGGGAAAUGAUAUGAAUACAAAUGGUGCUUCAACUGAGCUGAUUUUCAGUGCGAAAUAGUAUGGGAAAGGGUUAAUCAUCCUGAUCUGGAUCCUGAUCUGGAUUAACACAUUCCCUUGAUAUUUUUUGUGAUUUUUUUUUUUUUAAAAGGGAGUAAGGUGCACAAAUACAGUCACACAUUUAAAUUGCAAUAUUAUAAACACACACAUUUAUCCGAUACUAAGCUCCAAUGACAUGAAUGAAAUUUACUUCUGUGUAAGACAUUAUUAGGAUUGCCUUUUAAUAUUUUAUGUAGUUGGCCUUUAAGUUAUUGAGUGUUGGCUCAUACAUCUAGCAUCUUCUGGGUGAUGGUUUCUGAGGCUGCAAUUGGGUACCUGUAGACUCAGGAGUGGGCUGGGAUGACAUAAGGAACUGAAGACAUGAACUAUUAUCUCCAUAUAUCUGGCUCCAACACCUUGUGAGGUAGUAGCAACUCUUUUCUUAAGACUGCCAUGAUCAUAUAAAACAUGGGAGCUGCUCCCAGAGGCAUUAUGUGAGAAGCACAUGCUGAAGGAACUUUGUCCCAAGUGUUGAGUAAUCUAGAAGUAAGGCAUCAAUAGAUCUUCAUAUGUAUGCAGACCAUUUCUGGAUAUAUUUUGAAAGUGAUAGAAGGCCACUUUGCUCAGGAAAGCACUUCAUUGCUGAGGAAAAGCAGAGGAUUUUUUAGUAGCUAGCUUUAUACAUAUAAAAUAACCUAACAUGUAGUGUGGAGGCUCUUAGUUAUACAAGGGCCAUACUGCAUGUUAAGUAGGAGUUGUGCAUUUGGAGCUUCUGAUGAAAGUUUAGCUUGCAAGUUUCCCCUUCCAUAGCUUCUAGAAAAAUCUAGACUGGUGUUGUUGUUUUGGCAAAGGGUUGGACUCCUAUGCCUAUGUUAUGACCUUCAAUCCAAACUAGGUCAGAUGAUGGCUGUCUUCGUUUUAUUUUUAAAAUUACACUGGGAUCACCCACCAAGAGCUCCAGCACAGCACAUACCUUUGUGUUUUGCAAUGCAAUUGUUUACAUGUCUACUCAGAAGUUCCACUGACUUCAGUUGGAGAUACUACAGAACUGCAGCCUUGAUUAUGUAGGCUAAAAUUAAGACAAGCAGACAGGUCACAUUAGGUUCAAGCUGUUAGAACUACUGUAUAAAGUUCAGUGGUACCAAAAUUGUGCCUAUCCAGUGAUAUCGGCUUAAACUGCUGUCAGCAAGGCAGAUCCAUUUGUAUUUCUCUCUCUCUUGCUCUCUCUCUCUCUCUCUGUCUAAUACUGUCCAUUAAGAAAAGAUGAACAUUUUUAAAUAGAUUUUUAUGGGAGAGCCACAAUGCACACUUUUUUGGGGGGGGGGACCUUAACUGUACAUAAUCUUUUUGCAUUUCACUCCAAAAUGAUAUGAAGGCUCUUCCCAGAAACUCAGGGCAAAGCAUAAUAUUUUUAUUUUAAGAUGUCAUAAAACACUACCUGUCAUCAGUGAAUAUAAAAGCUCUUUGAAGGCCUUAUUAAAAUGAAAAUCAUUAGUGUCAAAUGAACUCUAAUGCUCCAUUGUGUGAACACAUACUUAAAGGAAGUCUUGAUUAAAUCAUAAUAUAUAUUUUAUGUCUGUUUGCAAAAUACGCAUCCCAGUAAGUAUUCUUAAUAUGGCAGCCUUUACUUAGAAAUUGGGAAUAAUGUUGUAAACUCUACAUAAAAAUAAUUAACAUUCAUAUUAAUAUAUAAACUCUAGUGCUGUUAUAUCUCUUAAACCUGAACAAUAAAAUAAAACAAUUUUCCCUGCAGUGGUAUUCAUCAAAUUUUAGGUUUGUUUUUCUAAUGAACAGAAAAGCUUCUUGUAAUAGGUGGAGACUGUACUGUAAAAGUAAAAACAACAUGUAUCUGAUGAAGUAGCUCUUCUGCAGAAAACAAUGCAACAAUAAAUCUGACUCCUUGUUUUUGAUGCAACAGACUAACUUGGCUACUCCUCCAGGAGUAGUGGGGUCUUUAGUAUAUGCGCUGUUGAAGUGCAAAGAUCUGCCCAGCGCCCCAUUGUGAAUGACAAGUGCUGCUGCUGGCACGGCGUGUCUUUGGUAAAUGAGCGCACAAAGUCAAAAGUCCUUUAGUGAAACAGUAGGUAUACGUUUUGGUAAUACCUAGGUACAGCGGUACCUCGGGUUACAGACGUUUCAGCUUACAGAUGCUUCAGGUUACAGACUCCCGUAACCCAGAAAUAUUACCUCGGGUUAAGAACUUUGCUUCAGGAUGAGAACAAAAAUCGUUCCAGCGGCGCGGCAGCAGCAGGAGGCCCCAUUAGCUAAAGUGGUACCUCAUGUUAAGAACAGUUUCAGGUUAAGAACAGACCUGCAGAAUGAAUUAAGUUCUUAACCUGAGGUACCACUGUAUAUAUGUAUUUUAUUUUUCUAGCUUGAUCAAAAUUAUUUAUUAUUUCAUAACAGGUAGAUAGUUAAGAGCUUAGGCAGCUUCAGCAGUGGGCGCCGGGCGCCUCCAGAAUUCGGCGCCCGAGUGCCCUUGCACCUCCAGGUAAAGACGGCCCUGUCCAGGAGCCAUGUAAGCUUGGAUUUUUGUCUUCUUUUUUCUGCACAAUGUUAGUGAAAUAUAUUACUUUCUUCUAUUUCUUCUAAUUCUUCUAUUUCUUUUUUUAAAAAAAGAUAUUUAUUGAAAUUUUCAAAGUGUUACAAAAAGGAAAAAAUAAAAUAGAAGCAAAAGAGAGUACAAAUAAAAAUAGUUGACAAAGUAGAAAAAGAAAAAAAAAACCCUUCCCACCAUAUGAGUAAAAAUUC
Podarcis lilfordi (Lilford's wall lizard) is the source of this 6866-nucleotide non-coding RNA. NCBI's taxonomy places the organism in Eukaryota, Metazoa, Chordata, Lepidosauria, Squamata, Lacertidae. The record is from the annotation of a GenBank genome assembly.